RNAcentral lists this ribosomal RNA (253 nucleotides) under uncultured bacterium. RNAcentral's name for it is "partial 16S ribosomal RNA". It matches the Rfam family "Bacterial small subunit ribosomal RNA", at positions 524 to 776 of the family's 1533-position model. The record is from RNAcentral.
UACGAAGGGGGCUAGCGUUGCUCGGAAUUACUGGGCGUAAAGCGCACGUAGGCGGUCUUUUAAGUCGGGGGUGAAAUCCUGGAGCUCAACUCCAGAACUGCCUUCGAUACUGGAAGACUUGAGUCCGGGAGAAGUGAGUGGAACUGCGAGUGUAGAGGUGAAAUUCGUAGAUAUUCGCAAGAACACCAGUGGCGAAGGCGGCUCACUGGCCCGGUACUGACGCUGAGGUGCGAAAGCGUGGGGAGCAAACAGG